ACUCCUACGGGAGGCAGCAGUGGGGAAUCUUGCGCAAUGCGCGAAAGCGUGACGCAGCAACGCCGCGUGAGGGAAGACGGCCUUCGGGUUGUAAACCUCUUUCAGGAGGGACGAAGGUUCAGGCGCGAAUAGCGUCCUGGACUGACGGUACCUCCAGAAGAAGCUCCGGCUAACUACGUGCCAGCAGCCGCGGUAAUACGUAGGGAGCAAGCGUUGUCCGGAAUCAUUGGGCGUAAAGCGCGCGUAGGUGGCCCGGUAAGUCCGCUCUGAAAGUCACAGGCUCAACCUGUGAAAGCGGGUGGAUACUGCCGGGCUAGAGUCCGGAAGAGGCGAGUGGAAUUCCUGGUGUAGCGGUGGAAUGCGCAGAUAUCAGGAGGAACACCAACGGCGAAGGCAGCUCGCUGGGACGGUACUGACACUGAGGCGCGAAAGCGUGGGGAGCGAACAGGAUUAGAUACCCUGGUAG
This 466-nucleotide ribosomal RNA is filed under the name uncultured Actinomycetes bacterium. RNAcentral's name for it is "bacterial SSU rRNA". It matches the Rfam family "Bacterial small subunit ribosomal RNA", at positions 335 to 793 of the family's 1533-position model. Lineage: Bacteria; Bacillati; Actinomycetota; Actinomycetes. The record is from RNAcentral.